This 440-nucleotide ribosomal RNA is filed under the name uncultured bacterium. RNAcentral's name for it is "partial 16S ribosomal RNA". It matches the Rfam family "Bacterial small subunit ribosomal RNA", at positions 338 to 795 of the family's 1533-position model. The record is from RNAcentral.
CCUACGGGAGGCAGCAGUGAGGAAUAUUGGGCAAUGGGGGCAACCCUGACCCAGCCAUGUCGCGUGAGUGAAUAAGGCCCUAUGAUUGUAAAGCUUUUUUGGUCAUGACACUGAUGCCGGUAGCGUUUCAAGAAUCACCGGCAAACUUCGUGCCAGCUGCCGUGGGUAUAUGAAGGGUGCGAGCGUUGUACGGAAUUACUGGGCGUAAAGGGAGUGUAGGCGGUUAUGUAAGAUAGCGGUGAAAUGCCGGGGUUCAACCCCGGAACUGCCAUUAUGACUCUGUAUCUAGAGUCAAGGAGAGGAUAGCGGAAUGCGCAGUGUAGAGGUGAAAUGCGUAGAUAUUGCGUAGAACACCGGUGGCGAAGGCAGCUAUCUGGCCAUUUACUGACGCUGAGGCUCGAAAGCAUGGGGAUCGAACAGGAUUAGAUACCCCUGUAGUC